AAAUUGAAGAGUUUGAUCAUGGCUCAGAUUGAACGCUGGCGGCAGGCCUAACACAUGCAAGUCGAACGGUAACAGGAAGCAGCUUGCUGCUUCGCUGACGAGUGGCGGACGGGUGAGUAAUGUCUGGGAAACUGCCUGAUGGAGGGGGAUAACUACUGGAAACGGUAGCUAAUACCGCAUAACGUCGCAAGACCAAAGAGGGGGACCGUCGGGCCUCUUGCCAUCGGAUGUGCCCAGAUGGGAUUAGCUAGUAGGUGGGGUAACGGCUCACCUAGGCGACGAUCCCUAGCUGGUCUGAGAGGAUGACCAGCCACACUGGAACUGAGACACGGUCCAGACUCCUACGGGAGGCAGCAGUGGGGAAUAUUGCACAAUGGGCGCAAGCCUGAUGCAGCCAUGCCGCGUGUAUGAAGAAGGCCUUCGGGUUGUAAAGUACUUUCAGCGGGGAGGAAGGGAGUAAAGUUAAUACCUUUGCUCAUUGACGUUACCCGCAGAAGAAGCACCGGCUAACUCCGUGCCAGCAGCCGCGGUAAUACGGAGGGUGCAAGCGUUAAUCGGAAUUACUGGGCGUAAAGCGCACGCAGGCGGUUUGUUAAGUCAGAUGUGAAAUCCCCGGGCUCAACCUGGGAACUGCAUCUGAUACUGGCAAGCUUGAGUCUCGUAGAGGGGGGUAGAAUUCCAGGUGUAGCGGUGAAAUGCGUAGAGAUCUGGAGGAAUACCGGUGGCGAAGGCGGCCCCCUGGACGAAGACUGACGCUCAGGUGCGAAAGCGUGGGGAGCAAACAGGAUUAGAUACCCUGGUAGUCCACGCCGUAAACGAUGUCGACUUGGAGGUUGUGCCCUUGAGGCGUGGCUUCCGGAGCUAACGCGUUAAGUCGACCGCCUGGGGAGUACGGCCGCAAGGUUAAAACUCAAAUGAAUUGACGGGGGCCCGCACAAGCGGUGGAGCAUGUGGUUUAAUUCGAUGCAACGCGAAGAACCUUACCUGGUCUUGACAUCCACAGAACUUUCCAGAGAUGGAUUGGUGCCUUCGGGAACUGUGAGACAGGUGCUGCAUGGCUGUCGUCAGCUCGUGUUGUGAAAUGUUGGGUUAAGUCCCGCAACGAGCGCAACCCUUAUCCUUUGUUGCCAGCGGUCCGGCCGGGAACUCAAAGGAGACUGCCAGUGAUAAACUGGAGGAAGGUGGGGAUGACGUCAGUCAUCAUCAUGGCCCUUACGACCGGGGCUACACACGUGCUACAAUGGCGCAUACAAAGAGAAGCGACCUCGCGAGAGCAAGCGGACCUCAUAAAGUGCGUCGUAGUCCGGAUUGAGUCUGCAACUCGACUCCAUGAAGUCGGAAUCGCUAGUAAUCGUGGAUCAGAAUGCCACGGUGAAUACGUUCCCGGGCCUUGUACACACCGCCCGUCACACCAUGGGAGUGGGUUGCAAAAGAAGUAGGUAGCUUAACCUUCGGGAGGGCGCUUACCACUUUGUGAUUCAUGACUGGGGUGAAGUCGUAACAAGGUAACCGUAGGGGAACCUGCGGUUGGAUCACCUCCUUACCUUAAAGAAGC
RNAcentral lists this ribosomal RNA (1555 nucleotides) under Escherichia coli. RNAcentral describes it as "bacterial SSU rRNA". It matches the Rfam family "Bacterial small subunit ribosomal RNA". Lineage: Bacteria; Pseudomonadati; Pseudomonadota; Gammaproteobacteria; Enterobacterales; Enterobacteriaceae. The record is from RNAcentral.